This 264-nucleotide ribosomal RNA is filed under the name uncultured bacterium. RNAcentral's name for it is "partial 16S ribosomal RNA". It matches the Rfam family "Bacterial small subunit ribosomal RNA", at positions 793 to 1055 of the family's 1533-position model. The record is from RNAcentral.
GUCCACGCUGUAAACGAUGGGCACUAGGCGUCGGGGGAGCGACCCUCCCGGUGCCGUCGCUAACGCAAUAAGUGCCCCGCCUGGGGAGUACGGCCGCAAGGUUGAAACUCAAAGGAAUUGACGGGGGCCCGCACAAGCGGUGGAGCAUGUGGUUUAAUUCGAUGCAACGCGAAGAACCUUACCUUGGCUUGACAUGCACGUGAAAGCCGGUGGAAACACCGGUCCUCCUUCGGGACGCGUGCACAGGUGCUGCAUGGCUGUCGU